RNAcentral lists this transfer RNA (76 nucleotides) under Methanothermobacter tenebrarum. RNAcentral's name for it is "tRNA-Gly". It matches the Rfam family "tRNA". Rfam says of the family: Transfer RNA (tRNA) molecules are approximately 80 nucleotides in length. Their secondary structure includes four short double-helical elements and three loops (D, anti-codon, and T loops). Further hydrogen bonds mediate the characteristic L-shaped molecular structure. tRNAs have two regions of fundamental functional importance: the anti-codon, which is responsible for specific mRNA codon recognition, and the 3' end, to which the tRNAs corresponding amino acid is attached (by aminoacyl-tRNA synthetases). tRNAs cope with the degeneracy of the genetic code in two manners: having more than one tRNA (with a specific anti-codon) for a particular amino acid; and 'wobble' base-pairing, i.e. permitting non-standard base-pairing at the 3rd anti-codon position. RNAcentral also lists the same sequence under 1 other name. The record is from RNAcentral. Lineage: Archaea; Methanobacteriati; Methanobacteriota; Methanobacteria; Methanobacteriales; Methanobacteriaceae.
UGCGGUUGUAGUCUAGUCUGGUUAGGACUCGGGCCUUCCAAGCCCGCGACCCGGGUUCAAAUCCCGGCAACCGCAU